GCCCACACAAAAAGUCUCACGCAUUUCAACGCCCAUCGAUGCUCGUCUCCGACUUCAUUGUUCUUGAGGACCUCGUCAUCGAGUAUUCCCAUUUGGGUUGGGAUUUUCAACGGAUGUAGCGCCUUCCGAUUUGCAGAUUUGCAGCGAACCUCCAGUUUGCGGAUUUGCUUGCAGCCAUUUCCGGAUUUGCAGAUUUUGCUAGGGCCCUUCCAGAUUUGUUAUUUCGAUUGUGAAGCUCUGAGAUUCUUCAAGUUAAGUAACUCUAGCAAAUUCUUCGUCUUGGUUGAUUGGUAGUGGAGACUUCAAGAUGAGCUUCUUACCAUUAUAGUGGAAGGCAUUUCUGUUCUCAUGCAUUCGAGUCACAAUGAAAUCAUCUUAAUUAGAAGAACCAAGGAGGACAUGGCCAAUCUUCAUAGGUAUGAUAUCACAUCAAACAUUAUCGAAACAGUUACCCAUUUGGAUAGAAACCAAAUAUCUUUCAUACAUGUAGGGUAGUGUUAUCAAUCCAAGACAAAUUAUUAAGGCUUUGGAUGAGGUUCUAGAUGAAGUUGCAUUCGAGUAACUUCAUUUCUAGAACCUUGUUCAUAGGACAUCUUCCAUCAAUGAUAAAUUUGCAUACAUUUCCACCACGUUUGAGGAAGGUGUGGAAAAUCUUGAAAUUGUGCCCAAAGUGUGCCAAAUGGCAUUCCUUUUUCCUAUAGUUUGUCACCAUGUUGUUGAAUUUAAGCAUAUAUAUGUUGCAGAUUUAUAUCACCAACAUUCUUUUUUAACAAAAUUUGCCCUCAAUUCUCAAUAAAAUCAUGCAAGCCCAUAAAUUUGACUUCUAUUUUUAAAAAACUUUCUCCAAGUCACCUUUAAUACUGAGUAUCACGUAGAAAUGAAACAAUCCUAUUCACAAGGCAUCAGCUCAUAUGUGCAAACAUGCUGAUGCAUGUCUUUGUUAAGAGCCAUCUGUAACAUUUUACCUGAUGUAUCAGAUGUAUUAGUUCUUGGCUGGUCUCUUGCUCAUGUGGUGGGACCAACUUCCUCUUGCUACAUAUUUAUUAUUAAAAUAAAAACAAAAGAUAAUGUUGGAUAACUUGUGUUACUUGUAAUUAUUCAACUAAGUUUGUUUCAAUAAUUUCCAAAUAUGUUGAUAACAUUUUCAUUAGUGGAUGUGUUGUUUAAAUGUGAUUUAAA
Molecule: long non-coding RNA, 1179 nt
Organism: Malania oleifera
Lineage: Eukaryota; Viridiplantae; Streptophyta; Magnoliopsida; Santalales; Ximeniaceae
Exons: 2
Source: RefSeq, a predicted model, not a curated record